Molecule: ribosomal RNA, 2853 nt
Filed under: Triticum aestivum (bread wheat)
Lineage: Eukaryota; Viridiplantae; Streptophyta; Magnoliopsida; Poales; Poaceae
Description: partial small subunit ribosomal RNA
Source: RNAcentral
AUGGCGGCAGCGGCAGCCGUCGUCGGGGGCAUGGUUGCCUCGGGUGUCAUCAAGGUGGUGAUAAAACAGAUCGGCUCCGCCAUCGGCGGCAAGAUCAAGCUGCACAAGAACCUGAAGAGAGACCUGCAGAAGAUGCAGAUGACGCUGGAGUCGGUGGAGGCCGCGCUCAGCGACGCCGAGAGGCGGUCCAUCACCGACAGCUCGGCGCUGCUGUGGGUGAACCGGCUCAAGGCCGCCAUGUAUGACAUCUCCGACAUGCUCGACGACUUCCAAUCUGACACCCAGUCCCUGUUCGGAGCUAUGAGGAAGAGGAUCAGUAUGCCAGACAAGAUGAAAAAGAUGCAAAAGUGUCUACAGAAGAUAACAGAAGACCAUCAGAACUAUCGUCUAACGCCAGAAACUUGCACCAAUGAGCAGCAACUUCCUGAUAUCCGGGAAAAUGCAGGGACUAUGGUGGAAGCAGAAAUCAUCGGGAGGGCCGAGGAAAAACUGGAAAUCUUGGCUCGAUUGUCUGGGAGCGCCAGUGAACAUACCACCUUUGUUCCCAUAUGGGGCUUUGGAGGCAUUGGAAAGUCCACCUUGGCAAGAUCGGUUUACAAUCAUCCUGAGUUUGAGAAACACUCUCGGGUAUGGAUCUAUGUUUCCCAGAUAUUUGACUUGAAAAAAAUUGGCAACACUAUAAUAUCACAACUAUCAAGACAACAGAGCCAGCAGAUACUUGAUCUGCACAGUAUUAACAUUCGCCUGCAAGAGCUACUUGCUGAGAAGAAGAAUGCUCUGAUCAUUUUGGAUGACCUGUGGGAGAAGCGUCCUUCUCAACUAGAAGAAUUAAAGUCUAUGCUGAAGCAGGGUAAGGGGUGCAAGGUGAUGGUUGUAGUUACCACACGUGAUGAAGGCAUUGCAAAUGAGAUCUCCACUGUUCAGCCUUACAACUUACCUCAAUUGUCAGAUGAGAUGUGCUGGGAAAUAAUGAGGCAAAAAAGUAAAUUUGAAACAAGAGAUGACAAAGAAUGGCUGGAGCCAAUUGGAAAGGAUAUUGCAAAGAAGUGCAAAGGUGUAGCUUUAGCUGCUCAAUCACUUGGACACAUUUUGAAGUCCAAGUCUUAUGGAGAAUGGAAUUCGGUCAGAACCAAUCAUAUCUGGAAUCUAUCUACUUCUACAGAUGCAUCAUCUGGACAUGAAGUGCUUGGAUCCUUGCUGUUAAGCUACAACCUCAUGCCUCCAUACUUAAAGUUAUUCUUUGCUUAUUGUGCAAUCCUUCCAAAGGGUCGCAAGAUGAAUAAAUAUAAGCUAAUCCAUCAAUGGAUUGCUCUUGGAUUCAUGGAGCCAUCUAGUAUAUUCUCUAAUUGGCAACUCGGUGAAAGUUACAUUAUGCAGCUUCUGGAGAUGUCAAUUCUUCGACAUUCAAAGGCUGUCGUUGAAUGUUACGACACAAACAAGAUUGUCACACUGUUCACAAUGCAUGACCUGGUGCAUGACCUCGCAAGGUCAGUCAUGGCUGACGAAUUUAACUUGACGGGCCCCAACUGCCGCUAUGCAUGGAACAUAGAUUGCACGAAGCCACUAAAGUCAUCCACGACUUCACCUGAAAAGUUAAGGGCGCUGAAUAUUGUGCGCGCAGCUGGAACCUCAUGGUCUAAGUUCCAUCAUGAUGCAAUUGCACCAGCAAAGUACGUCCGUGUCUUGCAUGCAUCAGUCAAAUCGAAUAGGUUGUUCACUUCUAUUGGUCAAUUGAAGCAGUUGAGGUAUCUUCAUGCUCCAAAUAUCCAGGGUCGAGUGGAUCUCGGGUGUAUCGGUUGUCCGAAUCUGAAAGAACUCCCACAUUCGUUUGCGAAUCUCAAAGAGUUGGUAUAUCUGAACUUAUCAGAGAGUGAUAAUGUUUUAGGACUACACGAAGCUUUGGCUAACCUUUCCAAACUCCAACAUUUAGAAUUAACAGCAUGUGAAAAUCUCAGAGGACGUCCAGAAGUCAUCAGCAAUCUCACCGAACUCCGCAAUCUGAAGCUAUCAGGGUGCAUGCAUCAUAUAUUUGACAGCUCAUCAACAGAUCAAACUGAGAGUUUCAUUGACUGUAUCUGUAGGCUUCCCAAUAUGGAGCACCUGGACCUGUCUUUUAAUGGUCAUCCUCUUAUUAGUAUACCACAAAGUGCUAGCUGCCUCCAGAAGCUGGUCCUUCAAAACUGCAGCCAUGUUUUUAGGCUUCCAGAAUGUGUGGCUAAAAUGGACUGUCAAAGCCUUUUUGGCUUGUUGCCAAUGUUUUCUGUAACUGUCGAGGAUAGUAAAUGUUACACCAGCCUUGGCUUGCUUGAGCAUGUAAAUCCUGACAAGCUGUACAUCGACAAACUUGAAAAUGUGAAGUCCCGAGAAGAGGCACGCAGUGUAAAAUUGAUUGAAAAACAGAGGAUUGAAGAAUUGACAUUAAAGUGGACGCCAAAAGGGAAGAGAUCUGUGGAUGACAUGGAGUUGUUGACAGAGCUAGUGCCACCGACCGCUUUGCAGAGCUUUGGGAUAUAUGGUUAUAUUAGCGUCAGCUUUCCAAACUGGCUAAUGAGUAUUGGCAAUUAUCUCCCUAAUGUUGUCCGAAUGGAGAUGUUUGAUUUGCCCAACUGCAACAGUUUUCCACCCCUCGCCCAACUACCACCAAAUCUCCAGGUGCUUAUUCUGAAACGCAUGGAAAGCCUGCAAGAAUGGAACACAACAUACUCUAGUGGCGAGGAUGGUGUGAAUGAGCUCGUGUUCUGUAAACUUGAGGAAGUGAUUAUAAAGUAUUGCAGCAAACUGAGGAUAACACCACACCUUCCUAGAGCUGCAUCUUGGUAUAUAAAGGGAAGUGAUAAUGUGCUCAUAUCAUAG